GAAAAGAAAAAAAAAAAGUAUAAAUUUUAAAUAAAUAAGUAAAAUAAAUCUAAACCCGUCUCUCUCCAUUUUGUAGAGUGCAGACCAGAACCCGCUCACAAGGUGGACAGGGCUGCUUGUACCAGCGAAGACGGUGUCUACCCGCUACUCGUCAUACCCGACACGCCAGAAAAGCAAGGCAGACAACCGGCUAACACUAAAGAAGCUGACACUGACGGAGGACCAUCUGGAUCCAAAAUUAGCAUACCAGAAGCACCAGAGAAAGCAGUGACUGACGACUCCAGGCCAUACCCCAGACUGAAGCAUUCCACUAGAA
Mugil cephalus (flathead mullet) is the source of this 316-nucleotide long non-coding RNA. RefSeq lists it as uncharacterized. The record is from RefSeq and is a predicted model, not a curated record. Lineage: Eukaryota; Metazoa; Chordata; Actinopteri; Mugiliformes; Mugilidae. The transcript has 3 exons.